GAGAUAUAGUAUGUGUGUGAGUGUGACUGUAUGUGAUGUGUGUGAGUGUGUGUGUGAGUGUAUGUGAGAUAUAGUAUGUGUGUGAGUGUGACUGUGUGUAUGUGGUGUGUGUGUGAGUGUGUGGUGUGUGUGUGUGAGUGUGUGUGAGAUAUAGUAUGUGUGUGAGUGUGACUGUGUGUAUGUGAUGUGUGUGUGUGUGAUGUGUAGAGAUAUAGUAUGUGUGUGAGUGUGACUGUGUGUGGUGUGAGUGUGUGAUGUGCAUAUCUGGCAGACCCAGUUAGAGUCUAAGUGACCUUGUGAGCCGGGGCCAUGCUUACAUUCACAGCAGAUGAUGGGGGGUGGAGGAGAUAAGCUGAGAUGAGGGGAGACGGCCUCACCGCUGUGCUGGGGCCCCUCUGUGUGGCUCUGCAGCAGUCAUGGGGGCCAAGCCCCUGUCAGAUCACAGGCCACUCUCUCUCCAGCCCUUGCGGUUUUAACUGUUACUCAUGUGCGGUCCCCUGGUAAGUGAUGCUCAGUUACG
Molecule: long non-coding RNA, 520 nt
Organism: Erinaceus europaeus (western European hedgehog)
Lineage: Eukaryota; Metazoa; Chordata; Mammalia; Eulipotyphla; Erinaceidae
Exons: 3
Source: RefSeq, a predicted model, not a curated record